CGAACGUUGGAAACAGCGGUUAGGAGCUUACACCCACCCGUGUCUACAUACUAUUGUUGCUUUGGCGGGCCGUGGCCUCCACUGCGGGCUCUGCUCGUGUGUGCCCGCCAGAGAACCAAACUCUGAAUGUUAGUGAUGUCUGAGUACUAUCUAAUAGUUAAAACUUUCAACAACGGAUCUCUUGGUUCUGGCAUCGAUGAAGAACGCAGCGAAAUGCGAUAAGUAAUGUGAAUUGCAGAAUUCAGUGAAUCAUCGAAUCUUUGAACGCACAUUGCGCCCUGUGGUAUUCCGCAGGGCAUGCCUGUUCGAGCGUCAUUUAACCACUCACGCCUAGCGUGGUAUUGGGGCACGCGGUCUCCGCGGCCCUCAAAAUUAGUGGCGGCGCCGGUGGGCUCUAAGCGUAGUACAUACUCCCGCUAUAGAGUUCCCCCGGUGGCUCGCCAGAACCCCCAAUUUUUCAGGUUGACCUCGGAUCAGGUAGGGAUCCCGCUGAACUUAAGCU
RNAcentral lists this ribosomal RNA (502 nucleotides) under Phialocephala cf. fortinii GPO_CO_01_D10. RNAcentral's name for it is "eukaryotic LSU rRNA". The stretch from base 162 to 315 matches the Rfam family "5.8S ribosomal RNA". Lineage: Eukaryota; Fungi; Ascomycota; Leotiomycetes; Helotiales; Mollisiaceae. The record is from RNAcentral.